GCAUAUCUAUAAGCGGAGGAAAAAGAAUACCAACAGGGGAUUGCCUCAGUAACGGCGAGUGAAGCGGCAACAGCUCAAAUUUGAAAUCUGGCCCUAGGCCCGAGUUGUAAUUUGCAGAGGAUGCUUUUGGCAAGGUGCCUUCCGAGUUCCCUGGAACGGGACGCCAUAGAGGGUGAGAGCCCCGUCUGGUCGGACACCGAGCCUCUGUAAAGCUCCUUCGACGAGUCGAGUAGUUUGGGAAUGCUGCUCAAAAUGGGAGGUAUAUGUCUUCUAAAGCUAAAUACCGGCCAGAGACCGAUAGCGCACAAGUAGAGUGAUCGAAAGAUGAAAAGCACUUUGAAAAGAGAGUUAAAUAGCACGUGAAAUUGUUGAAAGGGAAGCGUUUAUGACCAGACUUGGCCCGGUUGAUCAUCCAGCCUUCUGGCUGGUGCACUCUGCCGGUCCAGGCCAGCAUCAGUUCGUCGCGGGGGAUAAAGGUUUCGGGAAUGUAGCUCCUCCGGGAGUGUUAUAGCCCGUUGCGUAAUACCCUGCGGUGGACUGAGGUCCGCGCUCUGCAAGGAUGCUGGCGUAAUGGUCAUCAACGACCCGUCUUGAAACACGGACCAAGGAGUCGUCUUCGUAUGCGAGUGUUCGGGUGUAAAACCCCUACGCGUAAUGAAAGUGAACGCAGGUGAGAGCUUCGGCGCAUCAUCGACCGAUCCUGAUGUUCUCGGAUGGAUUUGAGUAAGAGCAUACGGGGCCGGACCCGAAAGAAGGUGAACUAUGCCUGUAUAGGGUGAAGCCAGAGGAAACUCUGGUGGAGGCUCGCAGCGGUUCUGACGUGCAAAUCGAUCGUCAAAUAUGGGCAUGGGGGCGAAAGACUAAAUCGAACCUUCUAGUAGCUAGGAUUCCGCGAGU
This 897-nucleotide ribosomal RNA is filed under the name Albifimbria viridis. RNAcentral's name for it is "LSU rRNA". It matches the Rfam family "Eukaryotic large subunit ribosomal RNA", at positions 38 to 967 of the family's 3401-position model. The record is from RNAcentral. Lineage: Eukaryota; Fungi; Ascomycota; Sordariomycetes; Hypocreales; Stachybotryaceae.